This 902-nucleotide long non-coding RNA is filed under the name Sarcophilus harrisii (Tasmanian devil). RNAcentral describes it as "lncRNA (ENSSHAG00000028954.1)". The record is from RNAcentral. Lineage: Eukaryota; Metazoa; Chordata; Mammalia; Dasyuromorphia; Dasyuridae.
AAGGCUGGUCUAUGUUGAAGCAGGCCAAGAUCAGGGAUGUUCUUCUCAGCAAAGAGAGCUUCUGUAUCUGCCCCACAAUGGAUAGUCUUAAGGAGUUGCCCAGAGCACUGAAAGUUUUGGGGAGCGUCAUUAAAUACAGCUGGCUGAGGUCAAAGAAAUACAGUCAUUUUGGUGAUAAUAAAGUCCUGCAAAUAAAAUCAACGUCCAUUGAUUGGAAACUGGCUAAACAAAAGGUGGGACGUGAAUGCCAUUUCUAUGCUAUAAGAAAUGAAUAUGAAGUAUUCUGAGAAGUACCAGAAGACUUAAGUGAACUGAUGCAACAUGAAACAAGUACAGCCAGGACACAAUAUACACAAGGACUACAACACAAAUGGAAAGAGCAAAAACCUGCAAUUGCAUGUUAUGUAAUUAUAGUGCCACAACUUGACCCUGAAGAAGAGACGAGUAAAUCUAUCUUUCCCCUUUUUUUCCCUUGGAGAAGGGAAGGUUCAGAGGAAACACAAGAGCUCCCCUGAAGUAUCUGAAGCUCUCUCUGUUUUUUGAUGGGGGAUAUGGAUGAGGAAUCAUGUACAUUCUGUUGAUUGCUGGUUUCACUGUAUUUUUUUUCUCCAUUUUUUGAUUUUUUGUUACAAUGGAUGAUUUGUUGGAUAGGGGUGGUACAUGAAAGUAGAAAAUGAUGAUGAUGUCAAAACAAAAGGAAUGAAUAAAUUAUAAUUUAAAGAAUAGAAAACAACUGUUUGGUAUUACAAGCAGAUGAUAGGAUUAGAGCCAAUGGUCUAAUCAAAGAAAUUACCUCAGUUUGCUCUCACUCACAUGAGACCACUGUAUACCAGAAAGUCAAUACCUCAAUAGCUAGGGGAAAAAGGUCUUUAGAAUAAUCAUCAUCAUCUUUAUCAUCAUCA